RNAcentral lists this ribosomal RNA (1416 nucleotides) under metagenome. RNAcentral's name for it is "bacterial SSU rRNA". It matches the Rfam family "Bacterial small subunit ribosomal RNA". The record is from RNAcentral.
GGUGGCGAGUGGCGAACGGGUGAGUAAUGUAUCGGAACGUACCUUUCAGUGGGGGAUAACGUAGCGAAAGUUACGCUAAUACCGCAUAUUCUGUGAGCAGGAAAGCAGGGGAUCGCAAGACCUUGCGCUGAUUGAGCGGCCGAUAUCAGAUUAGCUAGUUGGUGAGGUAAAGGCUCACCAAGGCGACGAUCUGUAGCGGGUCUGAGAGGAUGAUCCGCCACACUGGAACUGAGACACGGUCCAGACUCCUACGGGAGGCAGCAGUGGGGAAUUUUGGACAAUGGGGGCAACCCUGAUCCAGCCAUGCCGCGUGAGUGAAGAAGGCCUUCGGGUUGUAAAGCUCUUUCAGCCGGGAAGAAAACGCAUGGGUUAAUACCCUGUGUGGAUGACGGUACCGGAAUAAGAAGCACCGGCUAACUACGUGCCAGCAGCCGCGGUAAUACGUAGGGUGCGAGCGUUAAUCGGAAUUACUGGGCGUAAAGCGUGCGCAGGCGGUUUGUUAAGAUAGGCGUGAAAUCCCCGGGCUCAACCUGGGAACUGCGUUUAUGACUGGCAGGCUAGAGUAUGGCAGAGGGGGGUGGAAUUCCACGUGUAGCAGUGAAAUGCGUAGAGAUGUGGAGGAACACCGAUGGCGAAGGCAGCCCCCUGGGCCAAUACUGACGCUCAUGCACGAAAGCGUGGGUAGCAAACAGGAUUAGAUACCCUGGUAGUCCACGCCCUAAACGAUGUCAACUAGGUGUUGGGUGGGUAAAACCAUUUAGUACCGGAGCUAACGCGUGAAGUUGACCGCCUGGGGAGUACGGCCGCAAGGUUAAAACUCAAAGGAAUUGACGGGGACCCGCACAAGCGGUGGAUGAUGUGGAUUAAUUCGAUGCAACGCGAAAAACCUUACCUACCCUUGACAUGUCCAGGAGCUCUUAGAGAUUUGAGUGUGCCCGAAAGGGAACUGGAACACAGGUGCUGCAUGGCUGUCGUCAGCUCGUGUCGUGAGAUGUUGGGUUAAGUCCCGCAACGAGCGCAACCCUUGUCGUUAAUUGCCAUCAUUUAGUUGGGCACUUUAACGAGACUGCCGGUGACAAACCGGAGGAAGGUGGGGAUGACGUCAAGUCCUCAUGGCCCUUAUGGGUAGGGCUUCACACGUCAUACAAUGGUCGGUACAAAGGGUUGCCAACCCGCGAGGGGGAGCUAAUCCCAGAAAGCCGAUCGUAGUCCGGAUCGUAGGCUGCAACUCGCCUGCGUGAAGUCGGAAUCGCUAGUAAUCGUGGAUCAGCAUGUCACGGUGAAUACGUUCCCGGGUCUUGUACACACCGCCCGUCACACCAUGGGAGCGGGUUCCGCCAGAAGUAGGUAGCCUAACCGCAAGGAGGGCGCUUACCACGGCGGGGUUCGUGACUGGGGUGAAGUCGUAACAAGGUA